This 24-nucleotide non-coding RNA is filed under the name Arabidopsis thaliana (thale cress). The record is from RNAcentral. Lineage: Eukaryota; Viridiplantae; Streptophyta; Magnoliopsida; Brassicales; Brassicaceae.
AAGCCACUCUAUUGAACCUUUGCA